ACGCUCGACACCUACGGGAGCAGCAGUGGGGAAUAUUGCACAAUGGGGGAAACCCUGAUGCAGCGACGCCGCGUGAGUGAAGAAGUAUUUCGGUAUGUAAAGCUCUAUCAGCAGGGAAGAAAAUGACGGUACCUGAGUAAGAAGCCCCGGCUAACUACGUGCCUAGCAGCCGCGGUAAUCUGAGCGGGCUGGCAAGGC
RNAcentral lists this ribosomal RNA (198 nucleotides) under uncultured bacterium. RNAcentral describes it as "partial 16S ribosomal RNA". It matches the Rfam family "Bacterial small subunit ribosomal RNA", at positions 328 to 539 of the family's 1533-position model. The record is from RNAcentral.